This 394-nucleotide unclassified non-coding RNA is filed under the name rhizosphere metagenome. RNAcentral describes it as "partial ribosomal RNA internal transcribed spacer region". The record is from RNAcentral.
UUCCCCCUACUGAAGCCUUCCGCAGCGACUUGAUAAAUAACUGCCCAGCCUGCUCUGCAGACCACACCACGAAAAUGCUAGGACUUGAUUAACUUCAAGGACCAGCAGCCUAGAGUCUAGGUCCACAGAUCAUGUAGUGGUGGUCAUCCGAUGAUUGAGAUAUGACCGGUCUUAACCAGAAUUGGUUAAGAAUCAACGUUCCGUAGGUGAACCUGCGGAAGGAUCAUUAUUGAAAAGGGAACCCUUCGGGGUUCAACCUUCAACCCCAUGUCUUCAUUACCUGUUUCUUUGGCGGGCUUGCCCGUCAGAAGUUUUCUCAAACCCAUUAUAAACGUGUCAUCUGAAUAACAAACAAAAUAAAUUAGAACUUUCAACAACGGAUCUCUUGGUUCUG